AAGUCGUAACAAGGUUUCCGUAGGUGAACCUGCGGAAGGAUCAUUAUCGAGUUUUUGAACGGGUUGUAGCUGGCCUUUUAGGCAUGUGCACGCCUGGCUCAUCCACUCUUAACCCCUGUGCACCAUGUGUAAGAAUGAAUGGCGAAAGUCAUAGUUCUUAUGUUUUAUCACAAACGCUUCAGUCUUAGAAUGUCAACUGUGUAUAACACAAAUGUACAACUUUCAGCAACGGAUCUCUUGGCUCUC
Molecule: unclassified non-coding RNA, 246 nt
Filed under: Efibula tuberculata
Lineage: Eukaryota; Fungi; Basidiomycota; Agaricomycetes; Polyporales; Irpicaceae
Description: partial internal transcribed spacer region
Rfam family: Eukaryotic small subunit ribosomal RNA (bases 1-46)
Source: RNAcentral